GCCCAGUGAUGAGACCAAGGCGAAUACGAGCUAACUGAAUGAGAGUUGGGUUCUUCUUGCCUUGACUGGCAGGUAAUCUUGGCAGUGCAGGGGAGUUUUCCUGCUCUGCUGUAAGGGCCUGCCUACAGUAAUUUAGCCCAACCCUAAUUCUUCCUCUGGAGUCGGAGUGAAGUGAUGCUGGGAUGAAGCUGACAGUGUGUUUGUUGUGUGUGUGUGUUUGUUGUGAGUGUAAGAGGCAAGAAGUACACCCAGCUCUCUUUUGCUUUCAGUAAGCGAUGAGUUCCUUCUUUGGUAAUCUGAGGGUG
RNAcentral lists this small nucleolar RNA (305 nucleotides) under Labrus bergylta (ballan wrasse). The record is from RNAcentral. Lineage: Eukaryota; Metazoa; Chordata; Actinopteri; Labriformes; Labridae.